This 442-nucleotide ribosomal RNA is filed under the name uncultured bacterium. Its description in RNAcentral is "partial 16S ribosomal RNA". It matches the Rfam family "Bacterial small subunit ribosomal RNA", at positions 338 to 794 of the family's 1533-position model. The record is from RNAcentral.
CCUACGGGAGGCUGCAGUGGGGAAUAUUGCACAAUGGGCGAAAGCCUGAUGCAGCAACGCCGCGUGAAGGAAGAAGGGUUUCGGCUCGUAAACUUCUAUCAACAGGGACGAAAGAAAUGACGGUACCUGAAUAAGAAGCACCGGCUAACUACGUGCCAGCAGCCGCGGUAAUACGUAGGGGGCAAGCGUUAUCCGGAAGUACUGGGUGUAAAGGGUGAGUAGGCGGCAUGGUAAGCCAGAUGUGAAAGCCUUGGGCUUAACCCGAGGAUUGCAUUUGGAACUAUCAAGCUAGAGUACAGGAGAGGAAAGCGGAAUUCCUGGUGUGGCGGUGAAAUGCGUAGAUAUUAGGAAGAACACCAGUGGCGACGGCGGCUUUCUGGACUGAAACUGACGCUGAGGCACGAACGCGUGGGGCGCGAACAGGCUUGGCUACCCUCGUCGU